GCCGAAGAGUGGUAGUUAAUCUCUCAGAUUUAAACUAAUUAAACAGAAGGGAAAUUGCACAAAAUUGAAAGAUGCAGUGAUCUAGCUCCCGAUCCCCUGGGUCUGCAGGGUGCAUGUGCAUAGGCAACAGUCAACAGAGAAGUACGUAUAUACGUAGUAAAGGGCGUAUAUAUCAUUCUUAUUGCAACGGAUAUCAACAAACCAGUACAUGCUCCUAGCCACACUUGACUACUUAUUUACUAUUCCAUCAGUUAUAUAUUACAAUAUUUUUCAUACUUGUCUAGAAUUAUCCAUGUAUAUGUCUUUUUUUAUGUAUGUUUAGAUUUAUUAGUAUAUAUAAAUUUAGAUAAAGUUAGAAAAUCAGAACGGAGAUAUAUAAUAUUGUAUGUUAACAUGCAGCAGUGCAGCACAUCAGUUUGUCAAGUGGCACGAUGACUCGAUGAGCCCUAGCCUCCCGGUACAAAAACCAUACACUUCUCAAUGCGUGUAUGCCUCAUAGCUAUACUACAGAAACAGGGAGAUAUACAUAUAUAUUAAUUAAAUGAGUACCUACGUACUUGCGACGAAUAAUUAGCGUAAGUACACAGUGGCGGCUCUAUUCAGACAGUACUAAAGUACGACGUUGUAGCUGCAAUUCUGGUAUACCAUGCACAUUAGCUAGCUACUAACUCUCUUCACCUCUGCAUACUUUCACCCGAAACGACUCAGGCGGCAGGGGCGCAGUCAUAGUCGUCGUCGUCGUCGUCGCCAUCUGUCUCGGCCAUCCUACCCCGCGCACCGCACCACGGCGCGCCCGCGUCCGCACCACGGUGCGCCCGCGUAAACGGCGAAGGAGACAAUGCCGCCGUCUUGGACGAGGUAGCUGGCCUCCGACACCGGCGCCAUGGGAAGCGCAGGAGUAUGCGGGCGAUUUUGGGGUAUAGCUCUGGAGUGGAGGCGGGCUACUGCGCUAGCUAGUGCUAGCUAGCUGUGGGUGGUGGUGCUG
RNAcentral lists this long non-coding RNA (985 nucleotides) under Oryza brachyantha (malo sina). RNAcentral's name for it is "long non-coding RNA (OBRA_LNC000196)". Lineage: Eukaryota; Viridiplantae; Streptophyta; Magnoliopsida; Poales; Poaceae. The record is from RNAcentral.